GUUUUCACCAUUAGCGAACCAUGUACUCAUACAUCAUGUACCCAGACCAAUACGAUAUGGAAGCAUCCAACAAGCAAAUCAAUAUCAUUUGAAAAGAAAAACUUGAAGUUGUGGCGGAACCUACCACCAAUUUCAUGUUUUUUUCCCCCCUUUUCACAUACUUUGCCCUUUUUCCGUUCGGGAGUUAUUGCAUUGGAACUAUAUCCAUUCAUCUCCAGAACAGGGACCACCCGUGUGCCCCAUUAAAACAUUCACACCAGCAGCUUAUAACUGAAUGCAUG
Molecule: non-coding RNA, 281 nt
Organism: Pelobates cultripes (western spadefoot toad)
Lineage: Eukaryota; Metazoa; Chordata; Amphibia; Anura; Pelobatidae
Source: the annotation of a GenBank genome assembly